GUGGUGUUGACGGCCUCUAAACGAACGCCUGUGGGUCCAGCUCUGAGGAGGCUGCCCCGGGAUCGCCCUGCCCUGGGGAGACACUGGCCCCGUGCUCAGUGUCUUGAGUAGUCUGGGGCGUCGUCAGCCUCCUGGCCACAGGCUUGGUGUGGCGCCCUGGCCCCUGCCGGCCUCGGGAACCUGAUAGAGUCCCCAAGGACCGUCCGGGAAGGAGAGGGGGUGCCGCUCUUCUGGUCGGGGGUGCUGUACGUAGCCAGGGAGCAGCCUUGCGGGGAGGUGAGAUCGAGAUCGCAGCACGGCCCUGCCCCGGCCCCCGCCCUUCCCCCACUGGCGUUCUUGCCCUAUCCAGCCAGUGUGAGAAGGAGAAAAAAGCCUCGCUGUGAAGGGGCCUGACCGGCCCCGCUUCCUCCUGUGGGCGCUUGGCUUCCAAGCUCUUGUUUUCUUUCUUAACAUGAAAACAAAUUUAGGAACAGACCCCGUCUGUGUCCCGCAGGCAUUUCAAACCCACUUGUGCGCUCAUAAUUGCAUGAGGAACUACCUGGGGUGACCUGGACGUCUGAGUUCCCCACCUGGAAAGGAAGCUGGGUGUUUGGUGGCGGGGGCACGUUCCGAAGCUCCCGGAGCAAACUCAGGCACUUGGGGUGCUUCCCCGCCUUUGGGCUCAGCUGGAUGGAAGGACAUUAGCACGGCCCAUGCACCCAGUAUAGUCAGGGGGGCUCCAGGCUGACCCGACCUCCCCACACCCUGCGGAAUAGAGGAAUGAAGCAGACAGGUGCAGCUGUAGAGAGCAUGGACCGAAGCUGGGCCUGAUUGGGAGGAACCGGGCCGGUCAGGGCCUUGGCCGCAGGUCUGAGGUCUCCACCGGCAGCUGGUAGCUGGAUGCAGACCUUGGAGAGCAGGGCAGGGAAAACUGGGGCAGCAGCAGGCGGAGAAGCUCACCCCAGCCCUGGCUACACCCAGUUGGAUCUGGACCUGGAGCUCCUGGGGAUAUGCCUGGCACUCACCCUCUGCCACACUCGCUCCUGGAAGUCACACAGGGUCACCUCAAGCACAAGUGGCGUCAGCUGCCUCCCAUAUGACCAGCUUGCACAUAGCCAC
RNAcentral lists this long non-coding RNA (1098 nucleotides) under Fukomys damarensis (Damara mole-rat). RNAcentral's name for it is "lncRNA (ENSFDAG00000028629.1)". The record is from RNAcentral. Lineage: Eukaryota; Metazoa; Chordata; Mammalia; Rodentia; Bathyergidae.